Molecule: non-coding RNA, 2008 nt
Organism: Macaca mulatta (Rhesus monkey)
Lineage: Eukaryota; Metazoa; Chordata; Mammalia; Primates; Cercopithecidae
Source: RefSeq, a predicted model, not a curated record
GCAGUUCUCCUGCCUCAGCCUCCCAAGUAGCUGGGACUACAGAUAAUGCUGCAGUGAACAUGGGAGUGCAGAUAUCUCUUCAGGAUCCUGAUUUCAAUCCCGUUGGAUAUAUACCUAGAAGUGGGACUGCUGGAUCGUAUGAACUUUUCUUGAUUCCCCUGCAUGAUCUUUGGAAUCAGUAUGUCAAGUUCCAAAAUAAUCCUGUUGGCUGGAGGUCAGAAAUGGCAAAGCUGCCACCAUGAACUCUGUUGAGGUUCUGCUUCAGGGCUUUUUUUCACUGAGGCGGACACCUGGAAAGCCUCCACUACAGGCCCAAAGCCAAGCAAGGGAAUGGAAGCUGCCCGAGCCCUCCAGCUGCUAACUGAGUUAACACCUGGGAGUGGACCACAGCUACUGUGUGGGGAAACCCUGUCUGCACAGUGAAUCCCAGCGGAAUCAAGCAGAGCCAAGAGCUGAGUAACACAGAGCCCCAAGGACACUAUGUGAGACCCUGGAUCCAGCCUCACCUGACGGUGUUUCAGAGCAGAGUUCUCUAAGGCACAAGCUACAAGUGAGCAUGGCUGUAGCAGACCCAAGGGGACACCAGAACUGGUGAGAGGGGCUUGGUGCCUCAAAUUCUGACCACUUUGGGAACUGCAGGAGUGCUCGAGCGGUGGAUGCCAGCAGCAGCAGAGGGGCCCUUCUAGAAGCCUAAGAAGGGUGCUGGGGCAGAAGGGGACACACAGCAGGGGAUCGGUUAUCUCUUGCUGCGUAACACCCACCCCAAAACUUAGCUGCUUAAAGCAAUAACCAUUGCAUUUGCUCAGGAUUCUGUAGCUCAGCAAUUCGUGCUGAGCUCACCUGGGCAGUUCUCCUGCUGGUCAUGCAAGAGUCACUCACAUGUCUAUAGUCAUACGGAACUUGACUGGGGUAGGUGGUCCAAGGUGGCCUCACUCAUAUGUCUGGGGCAUCAGUUGGGAUUCCUGGAACAGGGUGAGUGGCUGAGUCAUUCUGUGCACAUAGCCUCUCAUCCUUAAGGAGUCUACUCUGACUUUAUUCACAAGGUGACAGUGUUCCUAGAGAACCAGGCUCUAUGUAUACCUGCGUUCCAAGCUCCUGCCUGCAUCAUGUUUGCUGAUGUCCCACUGGCCAGUGCAAGUCACAUGGACAAGCCCCAAGUCAGGGUGAGAGAGGGCUAUGCAUAGGCGUGGAUGCCAGGAGGUGUGGUCCACUGGACUUAUUACUGUCAUGACGUUGCCAUGUAAUAUACAAUGCAUGCUUGGCCCUCAGCCUAUUUCUAAGCUCAGGUGAGACCUUCCCUGGGACAGCCCAAGCAUAAGCAAGUAAGCCUGGCAGGUGGGACUAGAGCUGGUGCCACCUGCGUUAAUGAGGGGAUUAGUGCUUUGAUAGGAUUAAACCGGGGGCUAGCAUAGCACAGAGUAGGAGGCCUAACCAAUGCCAGGGCUUUCAGAGGCCCAGUGGCUAGAGGUGAUAAACACAGACUCUCAAGCCAGGCAGACCUGGGUUCGAGUCUUCACUCUGCCAUUUCCUUGUUCUGUGGUCCUGGGCUGGUAACUCCCCUACUCUGACUGUCAGUUUCUUCAUCCGUGAAAUGGACCCCACAGGGUUGCUGUGAGAAUUAAAGGAGCUCAGAAGAGCUUAGUCCGACAUAAAGCAGCAGUCUAUAAAUGGCAGUGCUAGUGAUCAGUGUGACAAGAGUGGUGGUAAACAUCAUGGUCCAUGAGAAUGGUGAUAGGAGGCAGGGUCAUGGCUGUUCUGGAUGAGCAGAGAGCUCUGGAUAGGUGACUAGGAGUGACCAGUUAGAGGAGGGCAGGGGAGGGCAUCCCAGGCAGAGAGAACGGUGCACCAGGGAUGUGCCACGAAGAGGAAGAACCGUGUGAGGACAAUGAGAAAAUAGCCAUCUGCAAGCCUGGGAGGGGGUCCUUAGGAGAAACCAACUCUGCCCGCACCUGAUCUUGUAUUUCUUGCCUCUACAACUCUGAGGAAUAAAUUUCUGUUGCUUAAGUCA